AGAAACCUGGAUGAACUUUUUGG
RNAcentral lists this microRNA (23 nucleotides) under Bos taurus (domestic cattle). RNAcentral describes it as "bta-miR-2285r". The record is from miRBase by way of RNAcentral. Lineage: Eukaryota; Metazoa; Chordata; Mammalia; Artiodactyla; Bovidae.